CUAACUUUCAUAAUAAGGAGUAUUACCAACCGACCUCAGUUCAUCUUUCAGUUAUAUGCUUUUAUACACCAAUGAGGAGACGGGAGAGGUAGGACUUGCAUCGCGUUCAGCGUCACAAAUAAAACGGACUGACUAGCGAGCGUUGAAAAAUAAAUGUAGAAAUCUAUAUUAUUCAAUUAUUGCACCCACACUGCUUGCGCGCGCCAAGGAGCGUCUGCGUUGCCAAGGGCUAACGCUUCGAACACACCGACUGUGUCUUUGCAUCACUGCUGCAUAACAUUUUGCGCAGCUAGGCAACUAUACUGAUGCAGGUAUCUUUUGCAGAUGGUCGCAUGCGGUUGGACACAUGGAGGAGUAUCGUAUUUCGCAGUAUCCUCAAAACCGUGUCUUUUUGACACAACUGCUGACAGCUACAGGGACAUAAACACAAAAAAAUGCUGCUUGGAGACAAGUGUCCAGGAUAGUAGGAUUGCCAGAAGAUUCUAGGAGGAAGUGGAGAGGACUCAGGGACAGGUGACAGAGAGAGAGAAGAAGAGGUCUGGGUCAGCAGCCUUGGCGCUUCUGCUACAUUCUUUCUUUUCUGGAUCCAUUUAUUGUGCCUAUGGCAACGAGUGGCAAUUUUACAGCCAGACCCUCUACUACGUCAUCCACAAGUGUUGUCGCCACCGGUGCAUCAAGACCCUCAACGUCACCUACAAGUGCGACCAUCACCUCCACCGGUGGAGUGAGACCCUCUACAACAUCAUCCACGAGUAUGACCACCACCGGUGCAGCGAGACCCUCUACAACGUCUACAUCAUCCACGAGUAUGACCACUACCGGUGCAGCGAGACCCUCUACAACGUCUACAUCAUCCACGAGUAUGACCACUACCGGUGCAACCAUGGAAGAUGAUGAAAUGGAGGAAGCACCUCUGGAUCUAGGACCGCCUGAGAUUAUUAUGAACCUCACGGAAGUGACCACUGAGGACCUCGUUGAACAGGAUGUGGCCGUGGAGACAAACGAGAGAAACAGAGAGAGAAACAAAGAGGAACAACGUCACACCAGGCGUCGUCGGAGGCACCAGCCCCCAGAUCCACUCAACUCAUUUCAGCAGAGGCUCCUCCAAGUCGUCGAGAGGGAUGCAGCCCAACCUGAUGCUCACAGAAGGAGGAUGAAGAGACCCUCUUUGCCAUGAGCCUGGUGCCAACACUGAAGAGACUGCCUCAGCAAAGAAAAACAGUAUGGGGUUAAAAUGUAUCAGCUGCUUUUCGAAGCCGAGUUCAAUGAGAUGGAGUCCAUUUAGCCGACCAGCUCACAGGAAGGACAGGAAGAGGAGAGGAAGGACAGGAAGAGGAGAGGAAGAGGACAGGAAGGACAGGAAGGACAGGGAGAGGAAGAGGAGAGGAAGGACAGGAAGAGGAGAGGAAGGACAGGAAAGACAGGAAGAGGAGAGGAAGGACAGGAAGAGGAGAGGAAGAGGACAGGAAGGACAGGGAGAGGGAGAGGAAGGACAGGAAGAGGAGAGGAAGGACAGGAAGAGGAGAGGAAGGACAGGAAAGACAGGAAGAGGAGUUGUCUGGGUGUUGUUUUGGCCUCCCUCAUUGUACCUUUCUUUUCACACACGUCAGUUCCCUUUUAAAUUCAGUCAAUUCAUAAAGUCAUUUGUUUAUAAAGUCUUAGGAUAGCAUUCAUUAUUAGUGUUACAUAGAUUUCUGAAUUGACAGAAUCCCUCACCCUGGUGACAUCAGGUAGGUGACCAUUUGGCGUGCCCAUCUCCAUCCGGAGCGGCUCCUGGAAUGACCUCCGCAGGUAGUGGUGGAGAACACAUGUGGCCUUCACGCAGGCAUCGACAUUUGAGGGGCUGAGACCAAGCACUCUCCGAUACAUUCUCCACCGGGCUGCCAGAAUCCCAAAGGUGCAUUCAACAGUGCAAUUCAGUCUGACUGUAUCAAUAAACUGUAGCCCAGGCCAACUCUACUCUUAGAAAGAAUGGUACUAUCUACUUAAAAGGGUUCUCCAGGUGUCCCCAUAGGAGAUCCCCUUUUGGUUCCAAGUAGAACCCUAUUGGGUUCCAUGUAUAACAUUUUCCACAAAGGGUUAUACCUGGAACCAAAAAUGGUUAUCCUAUGGGGAAAGCAGAAGGACACUUUUGGAACCUUUUUCUCUAAGAGUAUGUGAGUACAAUAAAAAUGUAAUGAAUGACUAACUGUUUUGAACAACAAUGGGUCCUGGAGAAGACUAGCCUACCUUCAUCAGGGCAGAAGGCACCUCAACUUUCUUUUCAUAUUGUAACAUUGCAUAAUUAAAAAAUGAUUAUAAACACACUUUGGGAAAAGUUAUAGUCCUAAUGAACAUUCUGUAAAAGUACAUCUGAUGUCAAAUAGGGACUAUUAACUAGAGAGCCCUUUAGCUAGCUAGGUUGCACAUACAAUAACUGAUUGAUAUUUGAUACAUUGUUUUUAUCAAAUGCUUUAAAAAUGUACUAGAAUGUAGCUUACCGGAGACAAAUCGCCAGGCGUUCAACUGGGCUGAUGGACCCACACAGACCUGUGCUUUCAGGACUUUAACCAUCUCUGGACCCACACAGACCUGCGCUUUCAGCGGGGCUGGUCCCGGCCCAACAGCGUGAUCAAGACCACCUUCCUCAACGUUGGUCUCAUUGUUGAAAGAGCCUACUCUGCUAUCUUGACUAUUUAUUAUUGCAUUUCACUCAAACUGCAUUUAAGGGACAUCAUAUUAUAGGCUCUCACAAUUCAUUUGUGGAUGUCAUCGAAUAAAUAAUAUACUUGGCAAAUAAAUGAA
Salvelinus fontinalis (brook trout) is the source of this 2784-nucleotide long non-coding RNA. RefSeq lists it as uncharacterized. The record is from RefSeq and is a predicted model, not a curated record. The transcript has 3 exons. Lineage: Eukaryota; Metazoa; Chordata; Actinopteri; Salmoniformes; Salmonidae.